AGAAUGAACGCUGGCGGCGUGCUUAACACAUGCAAGUCGAACGGAAUACAAGGGAGCUUGCUCCUGAACUAUUUAGUGGCGAACGGGUGAGUAUCACGUGAGCAACCUGCCCCGAAGAUUGGGAUAACACCGGGAAACCGGUGCUAAUACCGAAUACCCCUCACACAUCGCAUGAUGAGUGAAGGAAAUGUUUUUUCGCUUCGGGAGGGGCUCGCGGUCCAUCAGCUUGUUGGCGGGGUAACGGCCCACCAAGGCUACGACGGAUAGCUGGUCUGAGAGGACGAUCAGCCACACUGGAACUGAGACACGGUCCAGACUCCUACGGGAGGCAGCAGUGGGGAAUCUUGCGCAAUGGACGAAAGUCUGACGCAGCAACGCCGCGUGAGGGACGAAGGCUUUCUGAGUUGUAAACCUCUUUCGACAGGAACGAUUGUGACGGUACCUGUAGAAGAAGCACCGGCCAACUAUGUGCCAGCAGCCGCGGUAA
Molecule: ribosomal RNA, 487 nt
Filed under: uncultured bacterium
Lineage: Bacteria
Description: SSU rRNA
Rfam family: Bacterial small subunit ribosomal RNA
Source: RNAcentral